GAAGGUAUAGCUCAGUGGUAAAGCACCUGCUUAGCAUGCACAAGGUCCUGGGUUCAAUCCUCGGUACCUCCA
Molecule: transfer RNA, 72 nt
Filed under: Camelus bactrianus (Bactrian camel)
Lineage: Eukaryota; Metazoa; Chordata; Mammalia; Artiodactyla; Camelidae
Also listed under: 3 other names
Rfam family: tRNA
About the family: Transfer RNA (tRNA) molecules are approximately 80 nucleotides in length.
Source: Rfam by way of RNAcentral